Molecule: long non-coding RNA, 3770 nt
Filed under: Setaria viridis
Lineage: Eukaryota; Viridiplantae; Streptophyta; Magnoliopsida; Poales; Poaceae
Description: long non-coding RNA (SVIR_LNC005048)
Source: RNAcentral
UGUGUCUCAAACUCUUUGUAAUGUUGAAUUGAAACAAUGAGCUGGCUGUACUCUUUUUCCCUUCCUAGGGUUUUCUCACAAGGGUGAGUUUUUACCUAGGAAGGUUUUUAAUGAGGCAGCCAACACUUGAUCACACAGAUCAAGUGUUAAACAGCUCUAAUAAUUCCAUGUGAUGAAUGUCUGUGAUUUUGUGAUUGUGUGUUGUGUCUGUGAUUCCAUGUUAACAGCUCAAAUGAAUUGUGAAUUGUGAUUGUGUCUGUGUCUGUGAUUCUGUGAUUGUGUGUUGUGGUGUCGAAUAUGGGCUGUGGGCUGGCCCGACCCGUAAAAAAAGACGAGCCCUUCGGGCCGGCCCAGCACGAAAAAGACCUCACGGACCCGUGUAUGGGCAGCCCCCACGGCCCGUGGGCUGGCCCGGCCCGGCACGAGGGUGUUAUCGUGACGGGCCAGGCCCGGCACGAAAACGAACGGGCCAUGCCGGGCCCGUGCCGGACCGGGCCGGGCGGCCCGAAUGGACAUCUAUACCCCGAACCCUAUCCGCACCGCGCCGCCGUCCCCAUCCCGCGGCACCGUCCGCAUCCCGUCGCGCCGCGGUCCCAUCCCGUCGCGCCGCGGCCCCUCCGGCCGUCGCCCCUGCAGUUGCCGCCCGUCCUCCGGCCCUGUAGUUGCCACCCGUCCUCCGCCCGAGUGUGCUCCGCCCCUGCUCGCGCCCCUGUCGUGCCGCCGCCCCUCCGCCCCUCGUCGGCUGGGCCCUGCUCGCGCCGGCGUUCGUUGGCCCCUCGUCGGCCGGCCCCUACUCGCGCCGCCGUCGCCCGGACCCUGCUCGUGGACGGCGCCCGUGGACGUCGCCCGAUCUGCAGCGGCUCCUGCCCGUGGACGUCGCCCGAUCUGCAGCAAGGUGAACAGAUAGAAAAUGCUUCGUGAUUGCUUCACGUCCUCCGUUCUGAGGUCUUAAUUUCUGAAGACCUGACCGCCCAUAUGUUUCGGAAAUUCAGGAUGUAGAAUUUCGACGCAAAGGAUGCAGAAAUUCCCUAUUAUACACGUAACAAAAUGACCCAUGGUGCUGUCCAGAUACAGCUGCUAACCUUUCUCUCAAACAUGUUAAACAGGCAGUAGCAGUCCACCUGUAUGUACUGGAACAGUUUUUUGAAGAUAGAGGCAUGACAAAUUCAGGAGCACGGAUUCAAUCAAAUAGGCACCGAUUCUGACAAAUUCCGAAGCAAAGAUUCUCAAUCAAACAGUCUAUGAAUAAUUAUGCAUGAAACAAAUACAAUCAGUAGUACAUAGGGGUAAUAGAGAUAUUGCACAUCUCUUCUAGCCACUCUCGUCCUCGAAGAAGCUGGGUUGCCAAACGGACUCUAGCUUUCAGAAAGCCCGCUUUUGGAAAGCCAGCAUUGCAGGAUAGAAAGCCAGAAGUUAGCUUUCGGAAAGCAAAAGUAGGGCAGGAAAUGGCCAUCGACACCGCCGCCGCCAGCGGCGGAGAGAAGAGGCAGAGAGUGGAUGAGCAAGGGGAUCGAUGCGGAUCUGUGGGUGCGGAUGCGAUCCCGGCGGACCGCAUCUCGGCCCUGCCGGACGAGCUGCAGCAGCGCAUCCUGACGCACCUCCCGCUCAAGGACGCCGUCCGCACGGGGGCGGUCGCGCGCGGGUGGCGCGACCUGUGGAAGGGUCGGUGGGCGCACCGCGCCUCCGUCGAGAUCCACCUCCGUUCCCGCGACGCUCCGCAGAGGGAGCUCGACGCGCGAGCCGCGCCCGCGCCGCCGCAUCGCCGCUUCUCCCUCAUCGUCGACACCUGCAAGUUCAAGUCCUCGCAGAUCCGGCGCUUCAUCGAGUACGCCGCCGAGUGCCGCGUCGAGGACCUCCACGUCGAGACGCGGAAGAUCACGGCCGCGGACAAGCUCAACUUUCACUUGCCGCUGGCGAGCCCGCUCCUCGCGCGCCUCUCCCUCCGCUGCAUCAGCAUCUCCAACAUGUACUACAAGGGCGCGCAGCCGUUCCACGCUCUUGAGGUCAUCCUGCUCCACUCCGUCUCCAUUGCCCAAGCGACCUUCAAAAGAAUGAUGGCGCUGUGCCCCAGCCUCCUCACCCUCGACCUGCGCGGCUGUGCUUGUGAGCCCCUUUUCUUCUGGGGCGAAGCCAUGGUCUGGCCGGCGAAGCUGAGGAGUAUCACUGUUGCCGCGUGUUCCGGGACCAUCAGGCUGGACUUGGUGCGCGUGCCUAGCCUGCGGUCCUUCCGCUUCAGCUGCGGCUUCCUCGACAUUCCCUUCUUCCUUGCAGGCGAGGCUGUGCUUUCCGACCUUUCAUUCUGUUUCUGUACUCAUCAGUGUCAAGAAGCCACAAUGCUCAAAAGUUCAAUAAAGGUCUCCCAAAUGAUCUGUCCGCCCUCACAGUUCUCACCAUCUGCAACAAUGCCCUCCCGGUACUUUCUCACUAUUGGAUUUUCGUACCACCUAGCUCAUAUAUUGUUUGAUUGCCACAUAAGAAAAAAGUACCAAGUUUCUUCACUAACAAAUGCCUUUCAGGUCGUGUCUUCCUCGUAUGAUGAUGGAGCAACUGCCCAGUUGCCCAAGCUGAGCAACCUGCACGGUUUGAGAGAGUUACAUCUACUCAUGUUAAAAAUGGAGGACGCCAACCUUGCUGACAUCUAUGUGUUUCUCAAGACCAUCCAAUGCCACAAUCUGGAGAGGCUUUUUGUGCAGGUUAACACCUGCCCUGCCUCGCUGAUUUUCUCUGAUCUGUAGUCACUCUCUCUUUUUUUUAUUUCAUCUACUUCUCGGUUCUUAUUUUAUCAAUAGCCUUCUGAAUGGUUGUGCUUCAACUGCAGCUCCCGGGAUUCGUGUAUGAGCCCAUGGAGGGUUCGCAAUCGCUUGGCGUUGUGCUGAGGUGCAGCUAGUGAGCUUUUUAUUGAGGAAAGCCAAGUCCCUGCAGAAAUUGUUAAUAGUUUCUCCAAAUGUCACUCCACGGGAUGUGCCCGGUGUACAAGAAGCAGAGUUGUUGUUUCUCAAAGAAGCUUUAGGGGGGCGUUUGGUUCCUUGCUUAUUUUUAAGCAAGUGUCACAUCAAUGUUUAGAUACUAAUUAGGAGUAUUAAACGUAGGCUAUUUACAAAACCCAUUACAUAAGUGGAGGCUAAACAGCGAGACGAACCUAUUAAGCCUAAUUAAUCCAUCAUUAACAAAUGUUUACUGUAGCAACACAUUGUCAAAUCAUGGACUAAUUAGGCUUAAUAGAUUCGUCUCGCCGUUUAGCCUCCACUUAUGUAAUGGAUUUUGUAAAUAGUCUACGUUUAAUACUCCUAAUUAGUAUCUAAACAUUGAUGUGACACUUGCUUAAAAAUAAGCAAAUGGAACCAAACCAGGCCUUAGCCAAUGGCAAAAUAAUUCUGAGUGAGUCUGACGAUGCUGCAACUCAGCCAUACCAUUCUGAGGUCUUUAUCAAGCUCUAGUUGUCAGUCACCAGUUGGGGUCAGAACCGAAUGGAUAGUAAUAUCCGCAUCAGCUUGUAAGGGCAUUAUCCUCUUGGAUGUAGCUUACUGACAAUAUAUAUGAAGACCGAUGUUGUCUCCUUAUUUUCUUCUCUUGAAUAUUACUACUAGCAAAGUAUUUAAAUGCAUGGUAUUCCAACACAUGCUUACUUACCUAUCCUGAUACCACUUGCAUGAUGCAUUACGAACCAGCUCCAUAUCACCUUUCACAAUUCAACAACGAGGUGAAUUAAUUUGUGUAUCUGAAAUAACGAUGAUGUAACAUGAUGUUGGUUAUCUUGUUUGUUUGUUAUG